Molecule: non-coding RNA, 90 nt
Filed under: Bacillus sp. (in: firmicutes)
Lineage: Bacteria; Bacillati; Bacillota; Bacilli; Caryophanales; Bacillaceae
Also listed under: 1 other name
Description: Bacillus sp. c-di-GMP sequence
Rfam family: c-di-GMP-I riboswitch aptamer
About the family: GEMM was predicted in a large-scale screen for bacterial structured RNA regulatory elements.
Source: RNAcentral
AAUCCGAAAGGGCAAACCUGGGGAAAUUCAGGGACGCAAAGCUAUAGGGGCUAAGAUCGUAUUCAUUGAUGAUGCCAGCCAGUUGCCGAA